CUGACAUAAGUGUGAUCACAACAAACGCGAGCUGGCUCCUCUCUCUCAGGUUCGAACCAAGGCGCCUCUAUAUAUACCAGGUGAAACAAUCAUAUGAAAUGCACUUUCAACCAUAUUGGAAUUGCUGUCGGUAUUGUUUAUAAACAGCAUCAGAACGCUGCCGGCGGCUCUCUACAAACGGCUACGACGCUUAUUCGAACAAUGCCUACUAUGUUCGGCUUUCGCGAAUUUAUGUGAAAAAGAAGGGAUGAUUUUGUAGAAUUUCAUUCUCAUUUCCACUACUGCAUGUGAAAAUGCAAAAAUGGUGUAUCCUACACCCAGAAGACGUAUUACUAAAAUAAAGUACCAAAUCUUUGGUAAGCCAAACAUUAGUAGAAUGUACAAAUUAUCUGUAAAUAUUACCGACCGAUAGUAAAAUAAAUGUCAGAUGCAAUACACAUCCUUACCAACGAUUGGUACAUUUUACUGUGAGUUAUUGGUAACUCAGACAAUUGUCAUCCUUGGCAACCGCGAAAACUAUUUGUUAUUAUUUCAAUUUUCGCCGUGCUGAUAACAACAAUUAAGGUUUUUACAUAUGGUUUACCUAAUCGCGCAGAGCGCAGAGAAACCGAUUUACAGUGGUGAUACAUUGCAACCCACCAGUGGAGGUGGUGGUAUCGUACUGGGGAUAACCGGCGAAGAUGGUGAUAACUCAGCCGAUAAACACCUGCAUGAUUUGGUGGACCAUUAUUUUUCUAAGCUGGUUAAAUGUGAUAAAUGUCAGCAAUACUUGCGGUGGUUGAUACAUCAGGGAACGCUAUGCAAGCAGUGUAAUCACAUAGUGCAUCAGCAGUGCUCGGCCACGGUACUUGAACCGUGGCAGUCGGACGAUAACGUUGACCAGCCGUAGUCAGCAGGUCUUUGGGCUUGGUCUUUGCUAGCGCCGCAGAUUGUUAUAAUACUUUGCAACGAGCUCAAACAGAAAGCGAUGUGUAACUUGAACCUGGAUCUGUAUAAGCUGUAUCGGACGACGUCAUCGAACCACGACGAGGUUAACAAACUGCGUGACUCACUCAACGAAAAUCUAAUCAACACCGAUCUGGGCAGCUACUAACUGGAGUGUGUAGCCACGGUGCUAAAGAAGUUCUUACGAGGGCUGCCCGAUCCGAUCAUUCCGGUUAUGUUUUACGACAAAUUCGUCGUAAGCCUCAAUGAUGCGUAGCAAUCCGUUUGCAUAUCCAGGAUCUGCCAAUUUACCACAACGCUCAAGUAUAUCAUGAUACAUCUGAUGCGUAUAUGCCAAAUGCAUACCAGCGGGAACUGAGAGAGAAACCGACAAUACUUAUACAAGUGUGGUGCCAUAUUCUAAUGUGUCCUUCUAGGGAGAAAAUUUUUCAAAUCGUGUACAACACGGAAAACCACUUGCAAAUAAUGGAACUGUUGCUCUAUAAGCUGGACUGGAACAAAAAAAUACCAGAAUUUCUGUCUGCUCCUGCGGUACCACAACGGAAAAUAUCCCGAAGUGCGGUUGUGCUACAGCAGCAGCAACAACAAAUACCCGGUUCAUCCACUGUUUUAUCAGCAGCAUAGGCUGCUUCAAAAAGCCUGCAUUCAUUGAGGUGAUGAUGUUGCUUCACCUGUUAUACAAUAAUAUAAGCGCCUUGGUUCGAACCAAGGCGCUUAUAUAAAUGUAUAACAGGUGAAGCAACACCAUCACUUUAAGAAGAAGGGAAUCACGGUUUGUGGAGCGGGGGUUGUUUGUUUUGUUAUUGCUAGGAUACGCCAUUUUUGCAUUUUCACAUGCGAGAGUAGUGGAUGAACUGGAUAAGAAUGAAAUUCUACAAAAUCAUCCCUUAUUUUUCACAUAAAUUUGCGAAAGCCGAACAUAGGCAUCGUUCGAAUAAGCGUCGUAGCAGUUUGAAGAGGGCCGCUGGCAGCUUUUUGUAAACAAUACCGACAGCAAUUCCAAUAUGGCUGAAGGUGCAUUUCAUAUGAUUGUUUCACCUGGUAUAUAUAGAGGCGCCUUGGUUCGUGUAGAGGGUCACUCCGGUCUGCGAUUAAUAAAACACCGUUUUGU
This is a long non-coding RNA of Toxorhynchites rutilus septentrionalis, 2056 nucleotides long. RefSeq lists it as uncharacterized. Lineage: Eukaryota; Metazoa; Arthropoda; Insecta; Diptera; Culicidae. The record is from RefSeq and is a predicted model, not a curated record. The transcript has 4 exons.